This 253-nucleotide ribosomal RNA is filed under the name uncultured bacterium. RNAcentral's name for it is "partial 16S ribosomal RNA". It matches the Rfam family "Bacterial small subunit ribosomal RNA", at positions 524 to 776 of the family's 1533-position model. The record is from RNAcentral.
UACGGGGGGGGCAAGCGUUGUUCGGAAUUACUGGGCGUAAAGGGCUUGUAGGUGGCCAACUAAGUCAGACGUGAAAUCCCUCGGCUUAACCGGGGAACUGCGUCUGAUACUGGAUGGCUUGGAUCCGGGAGAGGGAUGCGGAAUUCCAGGUGUAGCGGUGAAAUGCGUAGAUAUCUGGAGGAACACCGGUGGCGAAGGCGGCAUCCUGGACCGGUAUUGACGCUGAGGAGCGAAAGCCAGGGGAGCAAACGGG